GUAGGUGGCAAGCGUUGUCCGGAAUUAUUGGGCGUAAAGCGCGCGCAGGCGGUCCUUUAAGUCUGAUGUGAAAGCCCACGGCUCAACCGUGGAGGGUCAUUGGAAACUGGGGGACUUGAGUACAGAAGAGGAAAGCGGAAUUCCAAGUGUAGCGGUGAAAUGCGUAGAGAUUUGGAGGAACACCAGUGGCGAAGGCGGCUUUCUGGUCUGUAACGGACGCUGAGGCGCGAAAGCGUGGGGAGCAAACAGGAUUAGAUACCCUGGUAGUCCACGCCGUAAACGAUGAGUGCUAAGUGUUAGGGGGUUUCCCGCCCCCUUAGUGCUGCAGCUAACGCAUUAAGCACUCCGCCUGGGGAGUACGGCCGCAAGGCUG
This 373-nucleotide ribosomal RNA is filed under the name uncultured organism. RNAcentral describes it as "partial 16S ribosomal RNA". It matches the Rfam family "Bacterial small subunit ribosomal RNA", at positions 527 to 896 of the family's 1533-position model. The record is from RNAcentral.